GAAAAGAAAUUUAAUUAUGUUAUUUAUAAGGAUUGAUUUAUCUUUUUUAUUAGAUGCGUCCUAAUUGCUUCUAUAACAUCAACCUAUUGAAAGCUAUAAUAUUUUCUUAUACCAUGUAUAAGUUUUGUGUUAUGGCGAAAAAGUAUUAGUUUUCACAAAUAUAUUUGUUAAGGUAUUGCUUUGAAUAUUCACUCCACUACAUACAAACGGCGCCGUCGUGUUCAACGUAAGAAGCCAUUGUUGCCCUCGUGUGGUUUCGGCACCAAAGAAGUGUUUUUUGCCGUUUCUGUGCAAUUCUGAGCUUGAAGCGCUUGCGGAUUACGAGUACUCCUGGAGCCAUGACCACCCUCUGGAAAACGGUCACAAUCGAGGUCCCAAGAAAGUCUCCAGGAUGCCAUCGGAAAGCUCUGUCCGAGGCGUUUAUUCAAGAUCCUCGGUUCCGGGAGUGCAUAGUGACAAACUACAGCUAAACACGCAGCAGCUCUGGAGAUGUUGCUCGGAAGAUCUUGGGCGGGAUCUUGGGAGGAGUUCAACCCAACGAUCAACCGUUCAGCGAACGUGAACGGACAUGCUGGCCAAUGAGGAGCUGCUUCGAAAGUUAUUUUGAGAGCAGCGUGACCGAUACAGGUCCGUUGCAGUGUUUCAAAUUAUUAAUUAAAUGAUUUAUACAAUAAAAUAACUAUGUCUGAAUCA
Aedes albopictus (Asian tiger mosquito) is the source of this 693-nucleotide long non-coding RNA. RefSeq lists it as uncharacterized. NCBI's taxonomy places the organism in Eukaryota, Metazoa, Arthropoda, Insecta, Diptera, Culicidae. The transcript is spliced from 2 exons. The record is from RefSeq and is a predicted model, not a curated record.